AUACGGAGGGGGCAAGCGUUGUUCGGAAUUAUUGGGCGUAAAGGGCACGUAGGCGGUCAAGCAAGUUGGUGGUGAAAGCCCUCGGCUCAACCGGGGAAUUGCCCCCAAAACUGCUCGACUUGAGUCCCGGAGAGGGUGGCGGAAUUCCCAGUGUAGCGGUGAAAUGCGUAGAUAUUGGGAGGAACACCAGUGGCGAAGGCGGUCACCUGGACGGGUACUGACGCUGAGGUGCGAAAGCGUGGGGAGCAAACAGGAUUAGAAACCCCAGUAGUCC
This 274-nucleotide ribosomal RNA is filed under the name uncultured bacterium. Its description in RNAcentral is "partial 16S ribosomal RNA". It matches the Rfam family "Bacterial small subunit ribosomal RNA", at positions 523 to 796 of the family's 1533-position model. The record is from RNAcentral.